GAUUAAAUACAGAAAAGAAGAUGUGGCCAAACCAUGACUCACGCUUCUGUCAAUGCAGAGCCCCAAAGGCAGAUGGAUGAGAAGAAAUGUUGCAGAGAACACGCCCUGCUGAAGCAAGCACAGGAUUCAGCAUUCCAUCAAGCUCCAGGUGACACUGGCACAGCAGACCUGUUUUUUUUUUUUUUUUUUUUUUUUUUGACAGGCAGAGUGGACAGUGAUAGAGAGACAGAGAGAAAGGUCUUCCUUUUCCGUUGGUUCACCCCCCAAUGGCCGCUGCGGCCAGCGCGCUGUGGCUGGCGCACGGUGCUGAUCUCAAGCCAGGAGCCAGGUGCUUCCUCUUGGUCUCCCGUGCAGGUGCAGGGCCCAAGCACUUGGGCCAUCCUCCACUGCACUCCCGGGCCACAGCAGAAAGCUGCCCUGGAAGAGGGGCAACCGGGAAAGAACCGGCCGGGACUAGAACCAGGGGUGCCAGCGCCACAGGCGGAGGAUUAGCCUAUUGAGCCGCGGCGCCGGCCCUGCUAGCCAUCCUUUAAACAUCCCAGACUCUUAGCUGUGGACAAGUGUCUGUAUAUACAUUUUUCCCUCUACAAAUUAAUCCUACUAUAGUCUUGUUGUAAAAUCUGCUUUUAAAAUUAUUUAUUUAUCUAUUUAAGAGGCAUAUAGAGACACACACAAAGAGCAAGCUCCCAUCUGCUGGUUCACUCCUCAACUCUCUACUGGGGGCCAAAGUUAGAACUCAAAACCAGAGCCAGGAACUCAAUACAAAUGCACUCCACUGUGGGUGGCAGGAACUCAAUAAUUUGAGCCAUCACUGCCUCCUCCCAGGGUCUGCAUUAACAGGAAGAUGGAGUCAGGAGCCAGAGUCAAGUACCAAAGCCAGGCGUUCUGAUGUGGGGCAUGACGUCCUAACCUGCCUGCUAACCACUAGACCAAUCAUAAGUCUUGACAACCUGUUUUUUUUUUUAAUUCAAUUAUCUAGGUUAACCGUCUUUGUAUAUUCAAAAAAUGCUCUUCUACAGAAAGAGUUUUGAUUGUACACAAGAGGUUGCAUUCUAAGGAUGUGUCACUAGCAGGGCAAUUUGGAAGGUGGGGAUUGCAGAUGGCAUGUCACACGGUCUGGGAAGUGCAACCCCACCAAGACCAAGGAUGGCGCUUCCCAAGCAAUCCCAAUGUACUGUCCCGCUCUUCUCUUCCUUCACAUAGAGAACAACUAAUUUAAUAAGUUCCCACUUGGGGGACCUUAAAUUUCUGUCAUCACAAACAAAGCAAAAUAGCUUUUCUGAGAAAAAUAAAGCACACUAAUCUCAUGAGGAAGAUGUUAUU
Molecule: long non-coding RNA, 1323 nt
Filed under: Oryctolagus cuniculus (rabbit)
Lineage: Eukaryota; Metazoa; Chordata; Mammalia; Lagomorpha; Leporidae
Description: lncRNA (ENSOCUG00000039538.1)
Source: RNAcentral